AGAUCGCGAACGGCAACCAAUCUUCAUCAUGCUUCCACCUCAAGAAUCCUUGGGUUUCUUCAUUUGAUUUGGGUUUCAUUUAUUUCUCAUUUUCGUUUUGGAAUCAAUCUUUGAAUUUUUGUGAUGGGUUCUUGCAUAAACUAUUGUUGUGUUGUUUUACAAGGAGAGUAAGUGAGAGUUGAAAAGGAUUAAGUGAAUGGCAACAAAGAUUAUCAUCUUCUUCGUGGAGCUAAAGCCACCCUCCCCACACUGACCACCAAACGUCACCGUUGCGCUCUCCGAAGUUGUUUGUAUUAGUUCAGAGCCGCUUCGAUCACUCUCUCUCACACACACGAUCUUGUCUUCCGAAGUUGGAUCUUGGAGUUUUUGAGUAAUAUUUGAAGUUUUGAAAGAGUUGAGUUGCUGUCCAGUCGAUAAGAAGAUCGGUUUUUGGCUCUUUUGACAUAAAGUUGAAGGAAACUUCAGAAAGUGCUUGGAGUUAUUCUUCAAAAGGAUGCAUUUGAAAGGAUAUUCGAUUCUCUUUCUGAGGCGUUAGCGAAUCGUUCCAAGUAACCAUAAUAUUUUUAGACAUUGCAUAUGAUUUGGUUUUUUAUAACAUUUCCUAGUGAUUAGUCUUUUUUGGUUACUAUCUGAUUUUAGUUUCUGAAAAAAUAAACAUUAUCCAUUUCUAAAGUCUAUGGUUUGAAACUUGGAAAACCCCAUUGCCGCAUUCUGAAAUUCCAGCUCACUUAAGAAAUGUGGUGUUGCGAAGGGUACUAUCUUAACUGCUU
This is a long non-coding RNA of Cucumis sativus (cucumber), 770 nucleotides long. RefSeq lists it as uncharacterized. The transcript has 3 exons. The record is from RefSeq and is a predicted model, not a curated record. NCBI's taxonomy places the organism in Eukaryota, Viridiplantae, Streptophyta, Magnoliopsida, Cucurbitales, Cucurbitaceae.